RNAcentral lists this small RNA (1058 nucleotides) under Histoplasma capsulatum var. duboisii H88. Its description in RNAcentral is "Histoplasma capsulatum H88 hypothetical RNA". Lineage: Eukaryota; Fungi; Ascomycota; Eurotiomycetes; Onygenales; Ajellomycetaceae. The record is from RNAcentral.
CCCCUCAGGCAACUGGGCAGCGACUCCUGAAAUACAACAGCGUCAAUUCACCUACACUUAACCAGCCGAACAUUGAUUAAUCUGAAAACUCGAGAGCCAAAGCCCUAUAUUUGCGCGCGGGCAACUCGAUUCGCUUCUAACUGUCCCCAUGCAAGGUGUUGAAGCCGAAAUAGCAACUCUGGACCAAAGAAGGUAGCUUUUGUGGCCUCCAUAUCUUGUUCUGGAAAAGCCAUCAAAUUCCCCCGUUAUUGGUUAUUUUAUCAAACUGUUCACGCGAUAGUCCAAUACUUCGCCUCUCCGUGUUCCCUGUCCUCAUCUCAGCGCUUCUCUUUAUGCCCGCUCCACGAUACGAUACACCGGGCACUCAUUCGUACCCUCCCCCCUCCGCUACAAUUACCGUUUUUGAGCUCAUCAUGUAGUGUUGUUGUUUAUUCGAAACCACCUCAGUCACUUUGCAACAUGAGGGGGCCUUCAGUGAGACGUGGCUUUUCCUCCCGAGUGAACCUUGGGAUUGGUUUCUCAUGCUCUCAAAAAGGACCUUGAAAGUAGUCCAUAUCAUAUUUUGCUCUAUUAGCCAUGUUUUCUUUGCUGUUUCUUCUUCUUCUUCUUCUUCUUUUUUUUGAACGUGGUUUAUGAAAUCUAUUGACUGCUUUUUGAUGAAUUGUUACGUUAUGUCUUGGAUACCAUCUCUGCCUGCUUAUAUCUCAUUUUUUUUAUUGAUAUUCUCCUGUAUGUGCUGAGCGUUGUUGACCCUUUCUACUAUACCUCUUAAUCUACAUACCCUGCCCUGCCUCUUGUUUCUUUUCGUCAUCUCACCCUCAUCGCUCUCCUGCCUUUGAAUGAUUGAAUGAAUGUAGUGUGUGUACCCCUAUCCAUCACGAUGACGGGAUCUAAAGGGUUUCCUUUAUCUUCUACCGAUUGACAGCCAUAGUUUCUUAUUUUAAUACCCCUUGCAACUCCAAUCCUACUAUCUCGGAAUCAGCAUGUAACUAGCGACGGUUCUCCAUUGGGCGACCGUUGGAUAUACGAAAAGCUUCCAAUAUUCUCUCUAUGCGUAU